Molecule: ribosomal RNA, 245 nt
Filed under: uncultured bacterium
Lineage: Bacteria
Description: partial 16S ribosomal RNA
Rfam family: Bacterial small subunit ribosomal RNA
Source: RNAcentral
GACGAACGCUGGCGGCGUGCCUAACACAUGCAAGUCGAACGGGAUCGGGGGCAACUCCGGUUCAGUGGCGGACGGGUGCGUAACACGUGAGGAACAUGACUUUCGGCGGGGGAGUAGACCGGCCCGAACCGGACCGGGUAACGUAACCGCCGUACGACCCACGUGGAGACCUCUCCGCUGGGUGGAAAGACGAGCAAUGCACCGGAAGAGUGCCUCGCGGCCUAUCAGCUAGUUGGUGGGGUAAC